UACAUGUGGGGCAAGCGUUGUUCGGAAUUACUGGGCGUAAAGGGUGCGCAGGCGGUGAUGUAAGACAGGUGUGAAAUCCCCGGGCUUAACCUGGGAACUGCAUUUGUGACUGCAUCGCUGGAGUGCGGCAGAGGGGGAUGGAAUUCCGCGUGUAGCAGUGAAAUGCGUAGAUAUGCGGAGGAACACCGAUGGCGAAGGCAAUCCCCUGGGCCUGCACUGACGCUCAUGCACGAAAGCGUGGGGAGCAAACAGG
This 253-nucleotide ribosomal RNA is filed under the name uncultured bacterium. RNAcentral describes it as "partial 16S ribosomal RNA". It matches the Rfam family "Bacterial small subunit ribosomal RNA", at positions 524 to 776 of the family's 1533-position model. The record is from RNAcentral.